Molecule: ribosomal RNA, 52 nt
Filed under: Cladosporium cladosporioides
Lineage: Eukaryota; Fungi; Ascomycota; Dothideomycetes; Cladosporiales; Cladosporiaceae
Description: partial 18S ribosomal RNA
Source: RNAcentral
GGUCGGCAACGACCACCAGGGCCGGAAAGUUGGUCAAACCCGGUCAUUUAGA